Pieris brassicae (large cabbage white) is the source of this 419-nucleotide long non-coding RNA. RefSeq lists it as uncharacterized. The record is from RefSeq and is a predicted model, not a curated record. NCBI's taxonomy places the organism in Eukaryota, Metazoa, Arthropoda, Insecta, Lepidoptera, Pieridae. The transcript is spliced from 2 exons.
UUUCCAUCAAAUUUUGAUAGGAGCUUUCAAUAUUUUGGUGCUUACAAAAUUUCAGUUUUAUAAAUAUAAUUUUAGAAAUUGUUUAACUUAUACAUAUGAUGCGCUUAACCUGACAAACACGCUAAAUUGAGAGACUAUAUGAAUAUGUGAUUAUUUGAACAUUGCUUGAAGUCAUCUUUUUAUUUACCUAUAAUAAGUUGAAAAAUACCUAUGUUUAUUUAAACAACAUGAAGCAGAAUAAUAUAAUUCAUGAACAUAAUCAGGAAAUUUGAAUUAUAAUAAAUACUUGCAUUCUUAUUUAUUGUAAAAUGAAGAACCAGGCGGCAGCUAUUUUUGCAGUAUUUACCUAUAACACGGAAUCCUUAUGAAGGUGUGUCAAUAAUUAUGCUAUAAAUUCUGCUUAGUACCCGAAAUAAUCG